UGCGGCUGUAGUUUAGUUGGUUAGAAUGCCUGCCUGUCACGCAGGAGGUCGCGAGUUCGAGUCUCGUCAGCCGCGCC
This 77-nucleotide transfer RNA is filed under the name Aliarcobacter butzleri RM4018. Its description in RNAcentral is "Arcobacter butzleri RM4018 tRNA-Asp". It matches the Rfam family "tRNA". Rfam says of the family: Transfer RNA (tRNA) molecules are approximately 80 nucleotides in length. The record is from RNAcentral. Lineage: Bacteria; Pseudomonadati; Campylobacterota; Epsilonproteobacteria; Campylobacterales; Arcobacteraceae.